CAGCAGCCGCGGUAAUACGUAGGGUGCGAGCGUUAAUCGGAAUUACUGGGCGUAAAGCGUGCGCAGGCGGUUCGUUAAGACAGAUGUGAAAUCCCCGGGCUUAACCUGGGAACUGCAUUUGUGACUGGCGAGCUAGAGUAUGGCAGAGGGGGGUAGAAUUCCACGUGUAGCAGUGAAAUGCGUAGAGAUGUGGAGGAAUACCGAUGGCGAAAGCGGCUCACUGGACCAUUUCUGACGCUGAUGCACGAAAGCUAGGGGAGCAAACAGGAUUAGAUACCCCGGUAGUCCCUGUCUCUUAUAA
This 301-nucleotide ribosomal RNA is filed under the name uncultured bacterium. RNAcentral describes it as "partial 16S ribosomal RNA". It matches the Rfam family "Bacterial small subunit ribosomal RNA", at positions 509 to 809 of the family's 1533-position model. The record is from RNAcentral.